RNAcentral lists this transfer RNA (73 nucleotides) under Hoita macrostachya. RNAcentral describes it as "tRNA-Glu". The record is from RNAcentral. Lineage: Eukaryota; Viridiplantae; Streptophyta; Magnoliopsida; Fabales; Fabaceae.
CCCCGUCCUUUCCAACAAACCAAUCAUUCCCGUAAAGGAUUUUAUCUUUCUUUGACUUUCUUUCAGAUUAUUU